UUUUAGGGUUUUUCGAGGACGCGGAAUUCGAUCCCCAACUUGAUAUCUGAACUCCACUCUUGGUUCUGGAAACUGAAAGUUGGAUGCUUACUUAAUUUAUGUUUUUCUUUUGGACUGCAUUUGAACACUAUAUCUUAUCCUGUGGGCUGUAAUGUGUUAUUUGGGGAUAAUGUAUUUUCCUUUUUGGAUUGCCACUUGAAGCUGGAAAAUGUGUAAACCUUAGUUCGAUUACUUGGCUUGUAAGUUGUAUUAUGGAUUUAUGCAUUUUAUCUAUCCGGUUUGUUA
Molecule: non-coding RNA, 285 nt
Organism: Coffea arabica (coffee)
Lineage: Eukaryota; Viridiplantae; Streptophyta; Magnoliopsida; Gentianales; Rubiaceae
Source: RefSeq, a predicted model, not a curated record